Molecule: non-coding RNA, 776 nt
Organism: Schizosaccharomyces pombe (fission yeast)
Lineage: Eukaryota; Fungi; Ascomycota; Schizosaccharomycetes; Schizosaccharomycetales; Schizosaccharomycetaceae
Source: the annotation of a GenBank genome assembly
AAAAUAAAUGUAACAUAGAAUACGCUUGCAAUGAUGUUAAACUGAUCCCCCUUUAAUUUCAAAUCUUCGGGAAGCCCCGCAACUUUAGCAUUACCGAUAUUACUACGGUCUAAGAAUGCUACAAGGUAUAAUAUCAUGAUUGUAGGAGCCAAAACCAAAUCCAACCUAAACAGCAACGAAUCUCUUUCCGACUUUGUCAAAUGUGUAUUUUCAAUGGAAAUUGGACUAGCAGUGUUAGAACGGCUGAUGACUUUUUCACUUUCAUCCGCUUUGGUAAAGAUGCUGCCAUUGCUCUUAUUACUGCUAGUGUGACUUAAAGACUUCAUAUUUUUUUUUUUUUUGAAAACGAAAAACGACGACCUUAAAACUUUUUCGUAUGUAAGUUGUCUUUUUAUAAAAGGUAAAUUAAAUGCAAUAUAAUUAGGGAAUUAGUAGGAUAUAAGUGAAACUACUAGGGAUCAAUCGAAUGGUUAAUGUCAAUCUGAUACAAAUGAUUUUCGCAGCGAUAUUAAGUUUUGGGUUUUUCGCUUAAGUGAAGGUGAAUUAGUGAAAACCAGUAUUAGAAAAGGUACCGCGAAAUUCCAAAAUCUGAAAGGAAAUACAAUUCCCCAAGCUAUUAAGGAGAAGAAAAAAAAGAUGAAUAUAUGGAUGUUGAUGACCGAUCUCAAAGCAGUGAGCAUUUUUCGUCGAGCCAUGUACAGUCAAUAUAUAACCCGGCUGAUCGGUUGAGCAUGCAUCCGGAUAUCUGGAAAUAGCUUGCAAUGAUUGAAUAUUAG